This 253-nucleotide ribosomal RNA is filed under the name uncultured bacterium. RNAcentral describes it as "partial 16S ribosomal RNA". It matches the Rfam family "Bacterial small subunit ribosomal RNA", at positions 524 to 776 of the family's 1533-position model. The record is from RNAcentral.
UACGUAGGGUGCAAGCGUUGUCCGGAAUUAUUGGGCGUAAAGAGCUCGUAGGUGGCCUGUCGCGUCGGCUGUGAAAACUCGGGGCUCAACUCCGAGCUUGCAGUCGAUACGGGCAGGCUAGAGUUCGGCAGGGGAGACUGGAAUUCCUGGUGCAGCGGUGAAAUGCGCAGAUAUCAGGAGGAACACCGGUGGCGAAGGCGGGUCUCUGGGCCGAUACUGACACUGAGGAGCGAAAGCGUGGGGAGCGAACAGG